GCAACGGCCGUACACAGGCGGCGGGCGCGGGCCGCGGUCGGUGGCGCAGGCGGGAAGGGGGACGGGUUGCUUUGCAAUUCUCAGCUGAAAUAAAGAUGGCUUCAAGAGAGAGAGAUUCACACGCACAGAGGACUGUUCCCAAACCAAAAGCAUCCCUCCGUUUAACACAGCCCGAGAGAGGGCCAGGUAUCUGCUAUUUGCUGAGCCCAUGCUGAGAAUAUGAAAACCAUGCUGGCCUCCCACGUCUUCGUGAUGGAUAACAGUUUACUUCAGAGAAGCCAAGCCAAGCGUAGACAAAGAGAAAAGAGGGAGGCCAGGAUCUUGAGGCUGCUCCGAGCUACAGAAGCCCACAGUCACCUCGGAAGCUGCGACUCUGCUGUCAGGAGGCAGGGGCGAAGGAAAUAAAUCAUCUGAUAUCCUGCCAGCAAACUGCCAGAGGCGCUUUGAGACUGGAGGAGUUUCUCCUGCCCCAAAAGAGCAUUAAAAAAAAAAAAAAAAAAAAAAGUCGGCUGAUAACUUGGACAGGGUUCAGAGGAAUCACAUAAAGGCAAUACUAGAAGAUGAAAGAAUUGGAAAAUUAAUUAGAAGAUGCUGAAAUUUUGAGGAACUCUUUGGAAUAGUUGAAGACAGAUGAUGGAUUGGGACAGAGGACCAGGAGUAGCCAGAUGUUUCAGGUACUGAGUUAAAUAAAUUCUUUCCCAACCUGUGCAACAGCUUCAGCUGCAGGAGAUGGGCCUUCAGAGCCAGAGGAACAGGCAGGUUGGUCACAUGAACUGGCCCAGGAUCUCUUCCUAAUAUAAAUUCUGCAAAAUUCUGCUUGCUCUGGAAUUGCAUGCACAUAAAUCAAACCGUAAUUAAAGCUUUACCCAUUUCAGUACCACCUGAUCAAUUAGAAAUAGAGAUUGUAUGGCGUUAAGCCAAAAAUUGCAUACAAAAACUGUUCAGCAUAUAGAAGUUGUUCUCAGCUUCGCACGUAAGUGAGAAACCUCAAAGCCAUGAGCAGUUUUUCCUCACAAUGAGUCCUGGGCCUUGCUCCAUUAAAACAGAAAUACCUGAAUGCUGUUUGUUCACAGUCAUAACCAUCAUUUUCUUUGUCUGCUGUCUUCUAGCCAGCAGGUCACGUCUGCUUGUGUUUAGAUGUGUCCACAGAGGAAUCCAACCUGCAAAUAAAGAACUGCAACAGACAUUGUGGUUUUGUUAUUACUGCUCAAGACUGAGAUUGUGUGAGAAAAACACUUUCCAGUUCAGAUGGAGGAAAUGGAAAGCACAAAGAUUCAUUACUUUGCUAUUCAACAGAACAGAUUUCUAAUGAAUCAUGUCUACCAAACAAUUUAGAGAUGAGGAAGUGAUGGAGAGAUGCUUUUCAUGCAAGUAGAAUAAAAAUCAGAGAAUAUA
Calidris pugnax (ruff) is the source of this 1395-nucleotide long non-coding RNA. RefSeq lists it as uncharacterized. NCBI's taxonomy places the organism in Eukaryota, Metazoa, Chordata, Aves, Charadriiformes, Scolopacidae. The record is from RefSeq and is a predicted model, not a curated record. The transcript has 4 exons.